RNAcentral lists this ribosomal RNA (607 nucleotides) under Cuscuta denticulata. RNAcentral describes it as "eukaryotic LSU rRNA". The stretch from base 210 to 365 matches the Rfam family "5.8S ribosomal RNA". Lineage: Eukaryota; Viridiplantae; Streptophyta; Magnoliopsida; Solanales; Convolvulaceae. The record is from RNAcentral.
CCUGCGGAAGGAUCAUUGUCGAACCUUCGUGGUAGAAUGACUUGUUAAUCUGUACCAAUGCACGAUUCGAGCGUCGGGGCCAUCUUUCUGAUUUGCCCAUGACGAACUAAGACACCGGCGCAGCGGCGUCAAGGAUUGUCAUAAUGAGAGUGCCGCCUCGCAGAGCUCUAUUCUAGUGCUUGUGAGGCGUGCAUCCUUUGAAUAAAAAUGACUCUCGGCAAUGGAUAUCUCGGCUCUUACACCGAUGAAGAACGUAGCGAAAUGCGAUACUUGGUGUGAAUUGCAGGAUCCCGUGAACCAUCGAAACUUUGAACGCAAGUUGCGCCUCAAGCCAUUAGGUUGAGGGCACGUUUGCUUGGGUGUCAUGCAUUAUUAUUGUGUCUCCGCUGCUCGUGAGUGGAGUGGGAGUGGAUGGUGGCCUCCUGGGCCCUUCCUUGGGUGUGGUUGGCCGAAAAUGUUGUCCUUGAUUUUGUUGAUGUCUUGGUGUGCGGUGGAUGUGCCAAGUGUGCAUGAUUGCCAUCCUUGCUCGACUUCAUUGUGGCGUUCGGAUCCUAUGAAGCUGGCGGUGUUGGCUCUUUGUUUGCGACCCCAAGUCAGGCGAGACUAC